GGGGAUUUAGCUCAGUGGUAGAGCGUUUACCUAGGAAGCGCAAGGCCCUGGGUUCGGUCCCCAGCUCCA
This is a non-coding RNA of Rattus norvegicus (Norway rat), 69 nucleotides long. Lineage: Eukaryota; Metazoa; Chordata; Mammalia; Rodentia; Muridae. The record is from Rfam.